GAUGGCUCAGUGGUUAAGAGCACUGACUGCUCUUCCAGAGGUCCUGAGUUCAAUUCUCAGCA
RNAcentral lists this transfer RNA (62 nucleotides) under Mus musculus (house mouse). Its description in RNAcentral is "tRNA-Ser". Lineage: Eukaryota; Metazoa; Chordata; Mammalia; Rodentia; Muridae. The record is from RNAcentral.